GUCGAGUGCAAUCCUCUGACAAAAGCAAGUUCAAGUUAUUGUAUUUUGAUCAGGAAGGAAAUGGUGGACUGAGCCUUGCUCUGCAGGAGGACAGUGCCAAAACAGGAAAGUUUACAUCUGCUGGAAUGUAUUUCCUUUGUUUUCCUGUUUAUCGGUUGGAUCAGACAGUCAACGCGAUUGCAGCCGCAAAGGAUGCUGAUACUGCCUUCUUCAAGAAAUUGGAUGGGUUUCAGCCAUGUGAAAUAAUGGAACUGAAGGCUGGCACCCAUGUUUUUGCUGUCUAUGGUGACAAUUUUUUUAAGAGUGCAAGUUACUCAAUAGAAGCUCUCUGUGCUGCACCUUUUGUGGAAG
Molecule: unclassified non-coding RNA, 351 nt
Filed under: Hevea brasiliensis (rubber tree)
Lineage: Eukaryota; Viridiplantae; Streptophyta; Magnoliopsida; Malpighiales; Euphorbiaceae
Source: RNAcentral